Molecule: ribosomal RNA, 443 nt
Filed under: uncultured bacterium
Lineage: Bacteria
Description: partial 16S ribosomal RNA
Rfam family: Bacterial small subunit ribosomal RNA
Source: RNAcentral
CCUACGGGUGGCAGCAGUGGGGAAUAUUCCGCAAUGGGCGAAAGCCUGACGGAGCAACGCCGCGUGAGUGAUGAAGGAUUUCGGUUCGUAAAGCUCUGUUGCAGGGGAAAAAGCAAGUGAUUGUACCCUGCGAGGAAGGGACGGCCAACUUCGUGCCAGCAGCCGCGGUAAUAAGAAGGUCACUAGCGUGGUUCGGAAUCAUUGGGCGUAAAGCGCAGGUAGGUUGCCAUGUAAGUUAGGUGUGAAAUCCCCGGGCUCAACCCGGGACGUGCACUUAAAACUGCGUGGCUUGAAUACGGGAGAGGUGAGUGGAAUUCCUGGUGUAGUGGUGAAAUACGUAGAUAUCAGGAGGAACAUCGGCGGCGAAGGCGGCUCACUGGCCCAGUAUUGACACUGAGCUGCGAAAGUGUGGGGAUCAAACAGGAUUAGAUACCCGUGUAGUC